AAGCAAGAAGCGAUUAAUUGCACUCAGUUUCGACCUGAUCCUAGAUACUCACCCUAUCCUUGCUUU
RNAcentral lists this transfer RNA (66 nucleotides) under Acroneuria carolinensis. RNAcentral describes it as "tRNA-Arg". The record is from RNAcentral. Lineage: Eukaryota; Metazoa; Arthropoda; Insecta; Plecoptera; Perlidae.